UACUCCUACGGGAGGCAGCAGUGGGGAAUAUUGGACAAUGGGGGGAACCCUGAUCCAGCCAUGCCGCGUGUGUGAAGAAGGCCUUAUGGUUGUAAAGCACUUUAAGCGAGGAGGAGGCUACUGAGACUAAUACUCUUGGAUAGUGGACGUUACUCGCAGAAUAAGCACCGGCUAACUCUGUGCCAGCAGCCGCGGUAAUACAGAGGGUGCGAGCGUUAAUCGGAUUUACUGGGCGUAAAGCGUGCGUAGGCGGCUUUUUAAGUCGGAUGUGAAAUCCCCGAGCUUAACUUGGGAAUUGCAUUCGAUACUGGGAAGCUAGAGUAUGGGGGAGGAUGGUAGAAUUCCAGGUGUAGCGGUGAAAUGCGUAGAGAUCUGGAGGAAUACCGAUGGCGAAGGCAGCCAUCUGGCCUAAUACUGACGCUGAGGUACGAAAGCAUGGGGAGCAAACAGGAUUAGAUACCCUGGUAGUCCAUGCCGUAAACGAUGUCUACUAGCCGUUGGGGCCUUUGAGGCUUUAGUGGCGCAGCUAACGCGAUAAGUAGACCGCCUGGGGAGUACGGUCGCAAGACUAAAACUCAAAUGAAUUGACGGGGGCCCCCACAAGCGGUGGAGCAUGUGGA
This 620-nucleotide ribosomal RNA is filed under the name uncultured bacterium. RNAcentral describes it as "bacterial SSU rRNA". It matches the Rfam family "Bacterial small subunit ribosomal RNA", at positions 334 to 945 of the family's 1533-position model. The record is from RNAcentral.